Molecule: non-coding RNA, 453 nt
Organism: Notechis scutatus (mainland tiger snake)
Lineage: Eukaryota; Metazoa; Chordata; Lepidosauria; Squamata; Elapidae
Source: RefSeq, a predicted model, not a curated record
CCCAGAGGGUGGAGGAAGGUGACCCCUUGGUCUUCUUCUGUUCAAUGGAAGGAGGCACCACAGAGAAGAAGUUCCACUUCUACAAGGAUGGGGUGGAGAUCACCUCCAGUGAAGAAGAUCUUCUUGAACCCUCCACUGAACCCAAAAACCCUCUUCAAAAUGCCUCUCUGAGAAUCCCUCAUGCCUCGAUCAACCACAGUGGGGAAUUUUUUUGCAGUUAUGAAGAGAAGAGAAGGAACCAAUGGAUCAUGUCUCCUUUGAGCCAGGGGAAGAACAUCACAGUUGAGCCAGUUUCAACCCAAGAUUCAGGUCCUAUAUGGAGAUAUUCCCGGGUGGCCAUUACUAUUAUAAUCCUGCUGGUUCCAUUUGCCUUCUAUUGCUGGACAAAGAAAAGCAAAUCUCCAUCCAAGAAACAAUCUCAGCUUGCAGAAAAGAAAGAGGAAGGAGGUGACC